This 253-nucleotide ribosomal RNA is filed under the name uncultured bacterium. RNAcentral's name for it is "partial 16S ribosomal RNA". It matches the Rfam family "Bacterial small subunit ribosomal RNA", at positions 524 to 776 of the family's 1533-position model. The record is from RNAcentral.
UACGUAGGGUGCGAGCGUUGUCCGGAAUUAUUGGGCGUAAAGAGCUUGUAGGCGGUCUGUCGCGUCUGCUGUGAAAAUCCGGGGCUUAACCCCGGGCCUGCAGUGGGUACGGGCAGACUAGAGUGCGGUAGGGGAGACUGGAAUUCCUGGUGUAGCGGUGAAAUGCGCAGAUAUCAGGAGGAACACCGGUGGCGAAGGCGGGUCUCUGGGCCGUAACUGACGCUGAGGAGCGAAAGCUAGGGGAGCAAACGGG